Molecule: long non-coding RNA, 12724 nt
Filed under: Eutrema salsugineum
Lineage: Eukaryota; Viridiplantae; Streptophyta; Magnoliopsida; Brassicales; Brassicaceae
Description: long non-coding RNA (ESAL_LNC000178)
Source: RNAcentral
CCGUUAUCGAUCCUAAAAACGGUGAAUCGGAGCUGAAAAAAAUUCCCAAUUGCCACUACACGACAGAGCUCGAGAUUUUCGGGAGAUUCAAAGGGAGAAACAUGAAGAAGAAGGAGGUUGCUUCCCGUUGGGAUUUCAAAUCUAAAACGUGAGAAAAGAAUCAAAUUCCGGGAACAAGAAUUUUGAAGGAAACGAGAAAAUCAGAGAUUCAAAUAGUGACACGGAGCAGAAAGAAGAAAAGAAACAGAAGAGAAGAAGAAAAAUGGUAAAGCGAAGGAAGUUUUUAUUUUAUUCUUUUCUUCAGAGUUACACAUUUUUUUAUUUUUUAUUUAUUGUUCGGUCGGUCGUUUUUUAAUUUUUAAUUCAGAUUUUUAAGCAUUUUUCUUGGACAGUGGACCUCAUUUCUUCGUUGUUCGUUCUUCUCAGUUCUGAGGGAAAUACCCUUUUGUCCAGGCAUUGAAAUGAAAAUAUGAAAUUAUGAAAAUACCCUUGCUUUUAAUUGAUUUCUAUUGGUUUCAGUUUUUUCUCCAACUCCUUCAUAAUUUAACAUUUUUUUAUGUUGUCAAUAUUAUUCGAUAGGUGAGGAAGCACCUCAUCAUCUCUUGGGUUUGUUUGUUUCCUAAAGAUAUUGUCAACCUUAUAUAUAAAUAAGGUAAUUAAGCGUAAUGUUUUGUUUGGUAAGACGUAAUAUUAUAUAAAUAUAACACUUAAAUACUCAAAUCAAAAAGAUAAAUAAGAAAUUUUGAAUCAAGGCCUAUACAGAGUGGCUAGAAAAUCAAUAGAAAACUUUUAAAUGAUUUAGAUAUUGAAAUUAAUUUUUUAAAAAAAGAAAAACCACUUCACCUAAAAUGUCAUUUUUAAUUGGCUUCAUUUGAAUUUUCUCCCAGGCACGUUUUUCUAAGCGCCGCUGCUCCUGGUUUUCUGAGUUCUUCUCCGCCGGUGACCUCAUUUCCUCAUCCGUCUUUCCUGUGCUGGUGGUCAAAGCAUCCUUACUUGGUUUGGGUCGAGCUUUUCUCCGGCCGCUGGCCGUGAGAAAAGGUCCGACUAAAGCUUUUAUUCCACAGCCUUCUUUCAUCUCUGCGUUUUACUCUGUGAUUUCUUCGAUGGAUCUACUAUUGUUUCUCUUCGCCCUGUUAUCAUCUCUGCUUCCGGAGCACCUGAAUCCACCGGAGCUUCUUGCCAAUCUGCUCUUCAACCGUCGAUCCUCCCUCUACCCGGUUGUGUUGCCGCUUCUGCUGUGUUCGCCUUCGAGCUUUCUCAGGCCAUUUCGAGGACAAAAAGCCUUUGUAAAGCUCUUACGGUGUCCUCCGACGAAGCUAUCAAUCGGCCUUGCCCGCGUCUUCUUUCACACGCCAUAUCUAUUCCACACUCAUACCCCGCCGGUAUUCACUCUUCCACACCGGUUCCCUCCGCCAUCUGGUUCAUCUGCAAUACUACCGUCAAGAGUGUCUUCUCAGGUGAAUCCGCAGAUGCUUCUCCGGCGGUCUCCUCCGAGUACCUUAGUCCAAGCGACGAGGCUAAGCUUGGCCUCUGGCAACGUUUUUGCUGCUGUUCCCGAUGUCUCUCCUAUCUUGGGCCUGGACAUGGGCUUUGAAGUGAUGCUAUUGGGCACACCAAUGCUGCAAGGCCCAAUAAAGAGCAUCUUACCAAUGUUUUUAAUCGACAUAUCUAGCAUCGGGUUCUCCAUGGCCUCUUUCGAAGGUAUGGGCUUUGGUUUCUCUUGGAUCGAUUGGCUAUUGUUUGGUCUCUGGUCCAUAUUCUUGCUGGGUCUGCCGUUGUUUUUCCUGCGUUUCUCUUCGAACUCUCUCAGGCUGUUUCGAGGACAAACUGCCUCUGAAAGUUUAGUAAGGGACCCUCAGGUGAAGCAAUUGCUCAGCCCUGUUCGAUUCUUACAGUGUUUUUGGAUGUUCCCUUCCGGCGUUUCUCCGGUCAAAGAAACUUCUGGCUUUCUCCUCCGAGCCAAGAUCUUCAUUGUCUCCUUCGUCUUCCCAAAGAUGGGUAUUAUCAUUGUCUCUUCCAUCUCUUCGAAGAUGUGUUUUAUUUCCGGCUAUUCUUUACUGUGGGUUCAGCCCAAUAUGACGAGACAGUUCGUCGGUCUGGAGUCCUUCCGUUUACCCUCUAUCGUUCUCCUUCCACCUCGGUUCAGCCAUCAGUACCAGCUGUCUCCGCCACCGUGACCCCACCAUGCUCGUUGUCCAUUCAUCAAUGUUAAUUGUUUGCUCGAGCUUUCUCCUUGGACUUCAAAGACCUCACCGAGAGGUAAUAUUACUCCGGGUUUAUUGCCGGAAGACCUUGUGAAUUUCUCUACCAUCUUGCUCCCUUUCAUAGACGAUUUCGUUAAUACGAAUAUCGGAGGAGGUAGAGGUUCUCUUUCAACGUCACUCUCCAAAGUGACUAAAUUUAAACUCUCCGGCUUUGCCGCGAAGGUUAAUUUGACGCAUUUGUGGCUAGUCCCAAAUGCGCUGUCCAUCUUUCAUGAUGAUGAUCUAUCUGUUAGUUACUUCUUUGUUUUCAUUUUGUGUUGUAACAAUCGAAGAGGAUGCUACAUUCCCUCUUCUUGUACUGUAGAAGUUUAAUCUAAUGAAGAAUGGUUUGACAAAAAAAAUAUAUAUUUAUCAAAAUUUUGUGGAUAAAAUCAUAUAACUUAGAAUUGUUUUCAUUGUUUUGCACAGUACUUCGAAAAUUGAAAAUGGGCUAAAUUAUAUAGAAAAAAAGAAUCCACAAGCAAGCUAACAAACACCCAAACUUAUUAUAAUUUGAUAUAGCAGAAGCUUUAAAAAAUAAUAUGAACGGGAUAAUUAGCUCAAUUUAGAAAUUCGAUAGAAUUACUAGAAACUUGUCAGUUCAACCAAGAGAUUCAAUAAAUCUUCAUUUGGGAUCUGUUUCGUUUGAUCAAGAGAUUCGAAGAAUCAUUUGAGACCAGCUUCUUAUUCUGAUGAAUUAAUCAAAUCAAACACCAGAAAUAAGAGAAUUUCUUUAUUUUAUUAAUCAAUCCAAUAUUGAAUACAACUUAGAUCUAAAUAGCUUAUUUAUGAUAAAUCCAAAACACUAAAAAACUUCAAAACAAUAAAAAGAAAUUAUCUGAAUAAUUAAAUAAAUAAUAAAAAUAUUUGAAAUAUUUCCAAAUAUUUUUCUGCAUCAUGAUUAAACAAAUAUCGGAACCUUCUUUUUUUUCAACAUUAGUAUCAUGUUUUCCUAGGUCAGUCAGUUUCUAUGGUGCUUCUCAUCUUUAUAUGCUUUAGUAUUUCUCUUACAAUUAUGUUCAUGGUAUUUAGUGGUUGGAUGAUUUACUUUAAGAUUAGAAUACUAAGAUUUGAAUAUUCUUACAACAAUUUCUACUGCAGUUGAAAUCUGAAGCCAUAUUAAAUGAUUUAUAUACUCAGUUUUUAAUUGUUCACAAACUACAAAAAUUAGUCUAGAUUUCGAUAUAGAAUUCUAUAAUUAUCAAUAUUUUUUUCUUCUUUUCCUGAUAGCAUAAGCUUUUAUUUGUAUUUAUAGUAAAAAAAAAACAAAGUAUAGCAAAUUGAACACAUUAUUGAAACAAAUGUUAGGAAUAUUAUACUGAAAAUUUGAUAGAACCUAAAGUAAUAUAUAAGUGAAACGGAUCAAUCCGCACCAAUUACUUUUAGGUCAGAACCCCAUAAAACGUAAUGUGGUAGCGGAACCCAAAUUUUGUUGACUUACAGUAGUAAUAUAUAAGUAAAAUUAAUCAAUCUGCUAAUUACCAGUUACUUUUAAAUCAGAAUAUCAUAACGUAAUGUGGUAGCAUAAUCCAAAUUUGUUGAUUUAAGUAGGAUAGCCCGAAUAAGAAAUAUUGUAGUUCGUGUAUGGCAUACUGCAAAUCUUAGAAUAUGUUUUGGUUUGAGUCUUCAAGAUGUGCUAGAUAGUUAUCAUCUAGAGAAAAUGGACUUAAAGAACUAUAUAAGAGAUACACUCAUAAUAUAUAUACCAGAAUCCAUUUUAUUGCCAAUUUUUUUUUAGUUAGAACCUAUAAAACUUAGAAACAUAUAUUAUGAUAGAAUCAAAGGUCAUCUCACUAAAAAAUAUUAUGCUCACAUAUGGUUUAGUGAUUUAAAAAAAUAAAUAAUCAAACAUACGAAUUAACCAAAAUAUAGUUUUAAAAGUUUUAGGUCUGCUAAAAUGUUUUUUUUUUAAGGUGUUACUAUGCUAAGCUUCAAAUUGUAUUGUAUUCAUUCUUCAAUAUAAGACUAAUGAACAUUUAGUUUAGAAUUUUGAAUUUUCGAGUAGGCCGAGAUCAGGCCCAGGCUAUAACCGCUUCUUACAGGCUAUUGAUGCAACCAAAUGUUACAAAUUGCAAAUGGCUAUUUGCUUUGUGUUAGACCAUCGGAGAUUUUAAACAUAGGGUUUAUGGGUUUUUUUCAUUAAAAAUAAAUGAAUAAAGCCCAAUUUUCAUAAAACUGGUCUUAAUUUAGAGAUUUUGGAGUCGGUUUUAGGAAGAGUUCAUGCAUGACAUCGUGUAAUUCUAUUUAUUGGUCUUUUCUCUUUCAUCUCCUCUCUCUUUCUCUCUCUUUUCUUCUUCUCUUCUUCGACUUUUUCUCUUCUUUAACUUUCUUUUUCUUCUCAAAAUUUUAUUAAUAAAAAAUUUGAGGUGAACCCCAUUCACCAUUAUAGAUGUUCUUAGCAUUGGUCCAUUGAAUUUUCAAUUUUUUUUUUUAUAACUUCUAUUGAGUCAUAUGGAAAUGGACAACACUCAGUUUAAUACUAGAUGUCCGGUAUCGGUUCUUAUCAGCUUCGCUGCUUUGUAUAUAGUCGCCGUCUGCAAGAAUCAUUCUGAGAAAUGCUAGACAAAAGUGAGAAAGACGAUUUCGUAAAAGAAAGAAGAUUGAGUUUUGCCAGAAACUACUCUACAAGAUUGUUGUAGUUUCUGGACACGCAGCUAUUUCAAACGACGAACCAAUGUUCAAGACCGGUGGGCGGUGAAUAAUUGUGCAUAUCAAUUAAGCUUGCGAAUUUGUUUUUUUUUGUUUUUUUGGCUGAAGAUUUGUUCUUGGGUUCUUGUUUUAAUGUUCUUAAUGUGGUGAAGCCAUUAAAAAAGGAAUGUGAAAACUUUUAAAAUUAAAAAGACUCUUUCCAUGUCUUCUUAAGUGAAGUUGUCUCUUAAGCUUAUUGCCCCCAAAUCAGAAAGCCACUAGAUAUAGUUUGGGAUUAGAUGGAAGUCAUAGCAUCUUCAGAUUAGGUUUAGGGGGUUUAAAUUAAAGAGUCUGAAAAACAGGAUCUUCAUGAUUUAGCAAAAUCAUAUAACUUUUCAUCUUGAUUCCUCCGGUUAACAAUACAAACACACUGCAAGAUGAAAUAGAAAAAGCUACAGGUAGAGGAAUUUGAUUUUGGAUAGUGAGGAAUCAAAAUACACAGUAAAUUCAGAGGCAUCACAUACUUUUAUGAUAUAUCCUUUCACGUAAAAGCAUAAAAACUGUUGAUUAUAUAAAUACAUGUAGCUUGAGAAGGAAGUAAUCCACCUUAACUUAUUACAUAGAAAAAUGAAAAAGAAAAUCCAAUUUAACAACACAACACACUGCAGAGAGGUAUGAGACUGCAUAGGAUGAUAGGAAAAACAAUAAUACAAUCCAAAUGAAGAACACAUCAUACUUUGAGGAAGAAAGAGAAAGCAGAAGAAGAAGCGUGGAUUCUGGUUUAUCACAGUGAGGAAUUCCAAUCCAAAUUGAGGGAUGGUUAGUCCUAAUAUCUCACUAUAAGAAAAAAAAUAAAUAAACAAAGUUAGUGAAUAUUCAGAAAAAUACAUUUCACCUAAAACUGCUAGGAAUAUCCAGCAAAUUCUGCCUCACCAUUUAAUAUCUUAAUAAGAAGCUGAACCAAUUUUCAACAGUUUCUAUUAAAUAUUUUUAUAUAUUCCUUCAUUAACGAAUGUGAAAGGAAAAGAAGAAGAAAGAAAAUACUGUUACUGUUUGUGAUUUAGUCAUUGGAAGAGUUCAAUGCACAUAUGUAUUUAAGCUUUUGAAAUUAUGAUCCCUCGUUAAUAUCCAACAAACACAGGCCUGAUGAUUUUCGAGAGAAUUUUCUAAUUUUGUGACCCAAUUUGUGUUUUGUUGGGUAUCAAUGUAUCAUGAUGCAAAUGGAUCAUAUCAGACUAAAAAAAAACGAUCACACUUCAUUCUAACCUUGAGCAAACUUGAAAGAAACUGAAGUAAGAUAAAAUAAUUUAUUCAAGCGGAAGAGAAUAAGAGAAAUGAUUACCCGAGCGAAUAAAGGCAGGAAACGAUGUUUAGUAUCUUCAUCCUCCCAUUCAAGCUCAGUUUUCUGUUCUUCAGGAACCAUAGAUAUUCCAAACCCGUCAAGUCGUGGGACACUUGUAGCAUCAAAGGGAAGCUUUCUCAGCUUUGGACAAUAAUCGACUUCUAUGUCCCGCAAUGAUGGAAAGGGGAGAGGACUCCAGUAGAUACUCUCCAGCUCAGGCAGAUUGUCCAGGAAUAAGUAUUCUAGUUUCUGAAAUGGUGUAAUACGAGCAAGAUUGGUUGCUUUCUCUUUGUUUAUGAUUUCUUCUACUUCUUCUGAACGUGAAAUCCUUAGCCGAGUAAGAUUUGGAGAAAGCAAUAGCCAAGUCAGAUCCUUAAUGCCAUGACAGCUAUAAAUUGUCACGACGGAGAGGUUGGUAAAGCAUGGACUUGUUGGAUUGUGUAAAUGAGAUGAGUCGGUCUUGCUUCCUCUGCAUUUAAUAUAUGUAUCAAUCGCCGACACAUGACUACCAUCCACAUGGAGCACACUAAGAUUCUCCAUACUCAACAGCGAUGACAUAUUGAAUGGCUUUUCUUUAAAACCUCGAAUACCCAGAGAAUUGAUGCAGUUAGCCAACCUUGGAUCGCCUAAUAUAUGCUUCAAACCCAACUCGGUAGAGAUCGUUAUCUCUAGAACUUGUAGAUGCUCCAAGGGCUGCAGCUCCUCCAACAUGCUAACAUCUCCAUCAACUUUAGAAAAUCUUAGUUUCAAAAUUCUUAAACUCGACAGCUUUGAUAUCCCACUGAUACUACGAAGACUGUAUGUAUAACUCAAAUCCAGAUGAAUUAGCUUUUUCAACUCUUGGAAACCAACUGGCAGUUGCUUUAUACUUGUGCCCCACAAGUUAAGAUACUGCAAGGAGGCCAGCUUCGAUAUCUGCUUAGGAAGUUUUUCGAAAGCGAGAUUAAGUGAUAGAUCCAAAACAACUAGCUUUUGCAUAGAGCCGAUGAAUUCACCUGAGAGAUUCUUCAACUUAUUCUUCUGGAGGAGCAGAGUUGUAAGUUCAGAACACUUGGAACUGCAUUUUAUCUCUUUAACCUCAUUCCUCAUUAAAGACAUCCUUCUCACAGCUCUCCAAUUCUUGACUUUUGGCGUUUCGUGUAAUCCGACUCCUGCUUGAACAAAAAAAGACUCAGAUGCAAUCCAUAGAGCCAUUUCGCGAACCACGUCAUGCAUCACAACAAGACCUAUCCUAUCAGGCUGUUCUGUCAGUAAAUUUGAGCGGAUAAGGGUACCAAGUACCUCAUAACCCUUAUUCACUGCCCUUUUAUAAGAUUGGUGUUCCCCGAUGAAUCCCUCGCACAUCCAAUAUUUUAUCAAAUCUCCUUUAUCUAUCUCAUAAUCUUCCGGAAACAGAGCACAAUAGAGGAAACACGACUUGAUAUGUUCACCCGCCAAGCUAUCAUAGCUAUACUUCAGAAUCGGAAGAAUUUUGUUUUCCAUGUCAAAAAACUCUGCAGCUGAUCUGGACAAAACAUCGACUGCAAGCUCCCAUUCUUGUACCGUAGUUUGAGAUGACAUUGUCUCACCAAUGACAACAAGCGCUAGUGGCAGACCACAACAUUCUUUAGCGACCUUUUUGGCAAGCUCGACAAUGGCAGGAUCUCUACUUAAUGUAUUGUCUCCUACUUUGCUUUUGAACAAUUUCCAUGCUUCUUCUUGUCCCAAACAGUCGACUUUCAUCGGCUCAUGAUCUCCCAUCCGCCCACAUACUUCCCGAGAACGAGUGGUGAAUGCUACUUUGCAUCCAUUUUCUCUGGUGGGAAACGGAACUCCAAUGGCUUCUAAAUCCAAUUUCUCCCAUAUAUCAUCUAACAUCAGGACAAAUCUCUUCCCUUUUAAAACUCUGUGUAUAUUGAUUGCCUUGUCACUUUCACUUUUGUUCUUCCACUCGCCGUCGCAAAGGUGUAGGUUUUUUGCAAUAUCAUCUUGAAGCUUUGAAAUAGUUGCACCUUGAGACACCACAACCCAGAUCACAACAUCAAAUCUACCUAUUUCAGUGAACUUAUUGUGGAUUUUCUUGAAAAGGGUAGUCUUGCCUACACCACCCAUACCGUGCAAACCCAUGAUUCCAACUCCAUCUUCCAUAAGGCGCUUCCAUGCCUUUUCCAGCAUUGUUUCCUGACCAAUCGUAGGCCCAGUAGGCCUUUCUUCUACUGCAGAUCUCAAAACCGGCUCAGUAACCUCUUUAAAAUUACCCUCCGAUUUGAGUUUCUUAACCUCUUUCAGCAACAAGAAUACCUUUUUCCCAUAUUUGUAGCUGGAACAUACACUUUUUGAAGAUAAACCACAGAGACAUAACUUCUUAAGCUCAACAGGACUAGUACUAAGCAGAUUAUUGAAUCGUGUAUCGAUGCUCUCGACACGUGUUAGCCAUACCUUGACAGCUUCAAGCCUUUGUUGAUGUUGUGCCUCCUCUCUCGCUACUUUGUUCUUCACCUCAGCUUCAAUUGCCUUGAGAUCAUCCAUUUCCCUCUUCAGAGCCCUGAGAUUCUCCUUGAGGUUUCGAAUAUAACCUUUGCCACAUAAGAAUCUAAAGAUACGAUUGAGAUCACCACCAGUAAGUUGGAUAGGAUUACAACUCCCCAUGUCGAUAGAAAGAGAGAAAACUUUGAGUAAGCAACAAACGAAAGCUAAAGAUGAAGAAGUGUUUUAUGUGAAAAGCAUUUUACAAGUGACGAAGGCAUAUAUGAUUUGUUAUCUGUCGGUCCUCUUUGGUUUCUAAUUUCCACCACUCCCACAUAUGCAUCGACUGAUACGAUUCACAUGAAAAAUGAAAAGCCACACAAUUUCUCUAUGGUGAUAGAAAGAGAAUAUUUCUGAAGCUGAAGAAGUUUUUAUUGUCAAAAAUAUCAUUGGAGAUAAGAUAACACAUCUUUCUCCAAUACGGGUGGUUAGGAGAUUUUCCAAAGGGAAAAAAAAAAAUUGCUUACGAAAGACUUUGACUAUUCUAAUAUCCGACCAUAGAUUUUACGAGUGAAGACUUUGCUCAAACUUAUUUCAAGUCAACUAAAGUCCUAUCUUCUGCUCUUAUGUUCUUCGUUUGGCGCUUGUAGCUGUCAAUUUGUUAGCCAUGUUGGCUUUGUUAUUGUUUGUAAACAAGUCUUCCUCUAAUGGAGCGUAGCUAAUCUAUAAAAUCUCAUUUGAGCAAAAAGAAAAUUAAAAGGAAACCCAAGUCUAAGGUGACAGAAACGUGGAUUGGUCAAGUAGUGGAGAUGAUUAAGUAAUCAUUGUCUGUUAUGCCCAAAGUAGCUUACGAAGUGGAGUCUUCUUUUGCGUUGAAAUCCUAUACGAUUAUUGUGUUGUGCCGAUUCUAUUUUUUCGUUAGUCUCUCUGUAGUAGAAGAACAUACCUUAGAUUUAGGCAUUGCCUGUUUAUGAUUUCAUUUAGAUUCAUGUUUCUUUUUAGCACCCUAUUGAGAAUUUAUUAUGUGCUACUUGAGAUAAAUCUGGGUUUGAAUUCUUUAAGUUGCUCAUUAAUGGAGUUUUAGUCAUGUCUAAGAGUAGAAAGUAUAUAAAAGCUUUUAAAAAAAGACUUGAUGAAUGGCAGAAAGAAUAUGAUCAGGGAGUUUUAUAAAGCUGAGGAUGAUGAAAAAUCGAACAUACAAAGUAUUUUGCCAUGUCUAAAACCAGAAUGUCCUACUGCCAAAUCUGUUGGGUAGUAGAACUUUUCUAGUCAAUGCGGUGGCAAAUCGAAUCUGGGGGAAGAAGUGUAAGAUUUUUUCUCGAAAACUUGGUGAAACUUCUUAAUGUUGUAUCACGUAUUGUUGUUCCAUGGACUUCCGCUGCCACUUUAAUAUAUAUUUUUAUCGUCCCAUUCAUUUCUUGCUGAACAAGAAACCCAAAUGUGGAAAGAAAAGAAGAAGAAAUUGUUUGUGAUUUUAUCCUUUGAAGAUCAAUACACAUAUGUUUUUACAUUUUUAAAUAAUGAAAUUAAUCCCCCAAAUACAUGCAUGACUUUUCUAAUAAUUUUUUAUUAUGUUGUUCCAAUUUGUGUUUGUUGGGUGUAUGAUAUAUUAUGAUGCAAAUGGAGAGUAUCAGUCUAAAUAAGGGUGCAUACUUCAAGCUAUUCUAGAGCAAACAAGUAAGAAACUUUAGAGAUGAAAAAAAACAACUCAAGCGGAAGAGUAUAAGAGAACUGAUUACCAGAUGGAUUAAAGGCAAGAAACGUUUUUGGUAUCUUCGUCCUCCCAUUCAAGCUCAGUUUAUCUCUUCUCCAGGACCCAUACCUAUUGUAAACCAGGCAAUUCGUGGGACACUUGUAGCAUCUAAGGGAAGCUUUCUCAGCUGUGGACACUCUUCUACUGUUAAUUUUUGCAAUAACAGUAGAUACUCUCCGGCUUAAGCAAAUUUCUUAUCGAAAACACUUCUAGUUUCUGAAACGGUGUAAUACCUCUAACUGUAAGAUUGACUUCUUUCUCUUUGCUUAUAAUAAUAUCUUCUACUUCUUCUGAAUAUCCACGUAGACGACAAGAUUUGGAGCAAACAGUGGAUUUCUAAGUUCUCUAGUUUGGGAAAUUUCGUGGCUUAUGAUGAACAAGUUGGGGUUUACUGAAAUUGAGUUCUGGUUUAAUCAAGACUGGUUAUAUCAUUAAUUCUUUAAGCCGGUUAAAGCAGUAUUAUGGUUCUAUUUUGGAAGUGGGUUCACUGACAUUGAUUUUUUUUGUUUUGUUUUAUAAUUUAAUUCAUUUUCAUAGAUGAAUUUGAAAGGUUACAGCGCAAAUAAACCUCAGACCGGUGAUCAGGUGAAACAUGAAAGAUAAAAUUAUGUAUAAGCUUUCCAGCAGUCAAAUCCCAUACCUAUUGGAUAUGAUCAAAUAUUAUAUCAAUUGUUAGAAACACAUACGUUGGGGAAAAGAGAAUGCGCAAGAUCCAUUUAUAGAUAUUGCAGUGCUUACCUUUACAACAUUGUCAAGUCCUCCAGUCACUACAAAAUUUACAACAUACGUUGGAGUAAAUUUGAUAGUGUUGAUGCCACGAGUAUGACCCUUGUACCUCUGUAUGCAUCCCUUCUUUCUGAUGUCCCAAAUCUUCAAAUUCGUGUCACUUGAUCUAUGAUGCCAAAAAUUCACCAAAUGGAUGAAAUUCAACAGCAGAACAAUUGGAUCUAUGUCCAGUAAAAGCUCGAACCACUACACUUCAAGAGUAAGAGUGAACAUGUUAGACCUCAUAAUUCUAAAGUAAACGAUAGAUAUGGUGUGGUACACUGCUCAAAUAUCAGGACCCAUAAUCAACAUCUAACUCAAUCGGUAUCUCUAUAUGUUCCCAUUUGAUGAAACUAGCUAGGCAUAUAAGGAGCAACAAGUAUUCUAAAGGAGAGCAGAAAAUCAAUCAACUAACUCUUUGCUUCUUCUAGAUCCCAAAGCUUUCUCACACCCGAAGAAGCUCCACCAAGCACCAAAACUUCUGCCGAGUCAAAAGCUACUGAAUCCACUGCACUAGUAUGUCCACAUAAACUCUGCAAACAACUCAAGAAAUGAAUAUAGCAGCACUCUUCUAUAUAAAAAACAAUACACACUUUUUGCUCAACAAGGAGGAAAAAUUUAGACAAGAGAGAAAACGUGAAACACACCAUUAAAGAAGUAGGCUUGCCGAUCGCCCAAAGGUUGACAUUGUAAUCAUCACCACCAGUAAUAAGGAGCCGUGAUGUCUUCUUUCCGAUACUUAAGCAAUUUACAUUUGCAGAAUGUGCCAAAAACUCCUCUACGUUUCCAAAAUCAAGUCAAGGUAUAAGCAAACACCAGACAAGAACAGCUAAAGAAAGGAGCAGCCUUUGAAGCAACUCGACAGCAAAACAUAAAGCAGGUCAUAAAUGGAGAGAAGUACUUUCACAUACAAAACAUAUCCAGAAAAUAUCCAUUUUCUAUCAUAUUGAGCAGCCAGUGAUAGAAACAUUUGACCCGGAAUUAAUUUCUGCUAAAAUCUUGAAAUGCUAAUCAAAACUUGAAGCUUAUCAAUAGCAAACUAAGCUUUGCUCUUGGGAGUUUUUAAAGAUAAAACCCUAACGAUUCGGUGAUUUAAAAAAAAAAAAAAAAAGACGACAAAAAUUUCUCAGGAUGGAGCUAAAAAUCCAGAGUUCGUUCAAUUUUACUCAGCUUAAGAAUCAACAACAUCGCCAGGAAUAUAAAAGGAUACGCAGCUUAUAUCCACGCUUCGCCAUUUUCUACUCGAUUUCCAGCAAAUCCGUGGGAAUCAAUGGAAUCCGAAUCUCUAGCUUCCGUAAUCGAUCGAAAAAACGGUGAAUCGGAGCUGAAAAAAAAAUCCCAAUUGUCACUACACGACAGAGCUCGAGAUUUUCGGGAAAUUCAAAAGGAGAAACACGGAGGUUGCUUCCCGUUGAGAUUUCAAAUCUAGAACGUGAGAAAAGAAUCAAAUUCCGGGAACAAGAAUUUUGAAGGAAACGAGAUAAUCAGAGAUUCAAAUAGUGACACGGAGCAGAAAGAAAAAAAGAAACAGAAGAGAAGAAGAAAAAU